AAAAACCAAUCCUUAAUUAUAAACAUCAUGUUUUAAAUAAAAUAAUGGUUAAGUGAAUUAAAAUAGAUAAAAAAAAUUAAGAAAGGAAAUAAAAGGGGGGUUUUAUUUUAUAUUUGAAAAAAUAGAGUUUUUGAAAUAAAUGAGUUUUAAAGUAAAGAUUAAUAGAUGCUAUAAAUUAAAGGUCAAACAAGAAUAUACUAGAAUAAAGUUAUUAGAAAAAACUAAUUAAAAUGAAAAUG
Molecule: long non-coding RNA, 239 nt
Filed under: Lathyrus oleraceus (garden pea)
Lineage: Eukaryota; Viridiplantae; Streptophyta; Magnoliopsida; Fabales; Fabaceae
Description: Pisum sativum (pea) long non-coding RNA (PSAT_LNC020077)
Source: RNAcentral